CCUACGGGCGGCAGCAGUGGGGAAUAUUGGACAAUGGGGGCAACCCUGAUCCAGCCAUGCCGCGUGUGUGAAGAAGGCCCUCGGGUUGUAAAGCACUUUCAGUGAGGAAGAACGCCUGGUGGUUAAUACCCAUCAGGAAAGACAUCACUCACAGAAGAAGCACCGGCUAACUCCGUGCCAGCAGCCGCGGUAAUACGGAGGGUGCGAGCGUUAAUCGGAAUUACUGGGCGUAAAGCGCGCGUAGGUGGCUUGAUAAGCCGGUUGUGAAAGCCCCGGGCUCAACCUGGGAACGGCAUCCGGAACUGUCAAGCUAGAGUGCAGGAGAGGAAGGUAGAAGUCCCGGUGUAGCGGUGAAAUGCGUAGAGAUCGGGAGGAAUAGCAGUGGCGAAGGCGGCCUUCUGGACUGACACUGACACUGAGGUGCGAAAGCGUGGGUAGCAAACAGGCUUAGAUACCCUAGUAGUC
This 465-nucleotide ribosomal RNA is filed under the name Vreelandella stevensii. Its description in RNAcentral is "partial 16S ribosomal RNA". It matches the Rfam family "Bacterial small subunit ribosomal RNA", at positions 338 to 795 of the family's 1533-position model. The record is from RNAcentral. Lineage: Bacteria; Pseudomonadati; Pseudomonadota; Gammaproteobacteria; Oceanospirillales; Halomonadaceae.